RNAcentral lists this transfer RNA (90 nucleotides) under Lawsonella clevelandensis. RNAcentral describes it as "tRNA-Ser". It matches the Rfam family "tRNA". From Rfam's summary of the family: Transfer RNA (tRNA) molecules are approximately 80 nucleotides in length. Their secondary structure includes four short double-helical elements and three loops (D, anti-codon, and T loops). The record is from RNAcentral. Lineage: Bacteria; Bacillati; Actinomycetota; Actinomycetes; Mycobacteriales; Lawsonellaceae.
GGAAGUGUGGCAGAGCGGCCGAAUGCACUCGCCUUGAAAGCGAGCGUCCGUUAGCGCGGACCAGGGGUUCAAAUCCCUUCACUUCCGCCU